Molecule: ribosomal RNA, 500 nt
Filed under: uncultured bacterium
Lineage: Bacteria
Description: partial 16S ribosomal RNA
Rfam family: Bacterial small subunit ribosomal RNA
Source: RNAcentral
AUUGAACGCCGGCGGCAUGCCUUACACAUGCAAGUCGAACGGCAGCACGGGAGCAAUCCUGGUGGCGAGUGGCGAACGGGUGAGUAAAGUAUCGGAACGUGCCCAGUCGUGGGGGAUAACGUAGCGAAAGUUACGCUAAUACCGCAUACGAUCUAUGGAUGAAAGCGGGGGAUCGCAAGACCUCGCGCGAUUGGAGCGGCCGAUAUCAGAUUAGGUAGUUGGUGGGGUAAAGGCUCACCAAGCCGACGAUCUGUAGCUGGUCUGAGAGGACGACCAGCCACACUGGGACAGGGACACGGCCCAGACUCCUACGGGAGGCAGCAGUGGGGAAUUUUGGACAAUGGGCGAAAGCCUGAUCCAGCCAUGCCGCGUGCAGGAUGAAGGCCUUCGGGUUGUAAACUGCUUUUGUACGGAACGAAAAGGUUUGGCCUAAUAAGCUGAGCUCAUGACGGUACCGUAAGAAUAAGCACCGGCUAACUACGUGCCAGCCGCCGCCGUAA